GGGGGUGUCAAGGUUUCGACUUGGGAGCAAGGCGUAGGUGGCAUGCGGAGGAUCAUCGGUUGGCCUCCUAAAAAAUCCGAUGAACAAACAAUCGUCAACGUAACAGAAGACGAGUUCAAACUCGCAGCUUAACCGCUGCUUUGAACCAGUGGCCCAAGAUCAAACCAGGAGUCUUGGAGUUCCACUGUCAUACAUCCUGGUAUGAAUCCUCCCUUUCUCAGCGGGUCUGGGGAGGAAUUCGAGAUAUCGAGUCGCUGACUCGGUCCCAAGCGGAGCGCCUUCCGGCAAGAUCGGGGAAUUAAAAAGGCACUAAGCAUGUAGUCACUUACGAGGCGCUUGCCAAGGACGAGAGUUCGAUUCUCUCCACCUCCAA
RNAcentral lists this transfer-messenger RNA (373 nucleotides) under Verrucomicrobiota bacterium. It matches the Rfam family "transfer-messenger RNA". Rfam says of the family: Bacterial tmRNA, also known as 10Sa RNA or SsrA, is named for its dual tRNA and mRNA-like properties. Its role is to liberate the mRNA from a stalled ribosome. Lineage: Bacteria; Pseudomonadati; Verrucomicrobiota. The record is from RNAcentral.